GUCAGGUAUUUUCUUCAGGCUCUUGUUGAACAUCUGUAGUCACCUCUCCUUGGGUGUGAGCAUACUCAAAUAAUGGGCACAGAUCUCUAAUUGCUCCCAUGAUCAGGUUUCUCUGAUGAUUCCAUCUACCUUUUUGUGAUGGGCCUGUCCAGAUAAUGCAGAUACAUUAUUGGUGGGUAGCUAGUCCAACACCAGGAACUUCAAAAGAAGAGUACCUCUCCCCCUGACAUUCUGACAAAGUCCAAACCAGCUCCCAUUGAAACUGACAAGAUCUUCAUGACUUCAAUGAGAGUCAGCUGGAGUCCAAAGAUGUUGUAUUUCAUAGACUAAUCCAGUGUAUUAAUCUUAACUUGGCUUUUGGACUUACAUUUGAUUAAAUUAAUUG
Molecule: long non-coding RNA, 385 nt
Organism: Alligator sinensis (Chinese alligator)
Lineage: Eukaryota; Metazoa; Chordata; Crocodylia; Alligatoridae
Exons: 4
Source: RefSeq, a predicted model, not a curated record